AUGAGAGCGAAGGGCUUCCCGCCGGUGUGGUGCGAUUGGAUUCGUAAUCUUAAUCAGACUAGCCAGUCGGCUGUGCUCCUUAAUGGUAAACCUGGCCCAUGGAUCAACUGCAGACAGGGGCUUCGCCAAGGCGACUCGCUCUCUCCUUAUCUCUUCAUUAUUGUAGCCGAUGUGUUGCAACGUCUGAUCCUUCAGGCAUCCGCUAAUGGCCUUCUAUCUCACCCGAUCGAUCCAAGCAUUCCUUGCCCAGUUCUACAGUAUGCUGACGACACCCUUAUCAUUCUGCAAGCUGACCAUGACCAACUUCAAACUCUAAAAUCUAUCCUUCUUGAAUUCUCAAACGCCACGGGUCUGGUGAUUAAUUUUCACAAAAGCACGUUUGCUCCCAUUCAUGUUGAUCCGGAUCUCGCAUCUCAACUUGCAACUAGUUUUGGCUGCGCGGUUGCAUCGUUCCCUCAAUCCUACCUUGGCCUUCCCCUCUCCACUCACAAAUUAAACCUAAAAGAUUUCUUCUUCAUUAUUGACAAGAUUGAUCGUCGUCUCGCGGGCUGGUGA
This 555-nucleotide ribosomal RNA is filed under the name Triticum aestivum (bread wheat). Its description in RNAcentral is "partial small subunit ribosomal RNA". Lineage: Eukaryota; Viridiplantae; Streptophyta; Magnoliopsida; Poales; Poaceae. The record is from RNAcentral.